UACGUAGGGUGCAAGCGUUGUCCGGAAUUAUUGGGCGUAAAGAGCUCGUAGGCGGUCUGUCGCGUCUGCUGUGAAAAUCCAGGGCUCAACCCUGGACCUGCAGUGGGUACGGGCAGACUAGAGUGCGGUAGGGGAAAUCGGAAUUCCUGGUGUAGCGGUGAAAUGCGCAGAUAUCAGGAGGAACACCGGUGGCGAAGGCGGAUCUCUGGGCCGUAACUGACGCUGAGGAGCGAAAGCGUGGGGAGCGAACAGG
This 253-nucleotide ribosomal RNA is filed under the name uncultured bacterium. RNAcentral's name for it is "partial 16S ribosomal RNA". It matches the Rfam family "Bacterial small subunit ribosomal RNA", at positions 524 to 776 of the family's 1533-position model. The record is from RNAcentral.